CUAUUUUGAAUAAAGAGUUAGACUUUGCUUGACUGACUGUUCAUAUGCAGCAGGUGGAAAAGAAGAAUAAAAAGAUUGUUGAAUCUAGAGAGGGACAGAUAGGCUAAGAGAGCUAGAUCUAUAGACCAGCACCAGUUUCAGUUGUAGAGUGGUAACUGGGGUAAUAAGUGGUCGAAGAAGAAGAAGUUUUAGAAUAAUGCA
RNAcentral lists this long non-coding RNA (201 nucleotides) under Capsicum annuum. RNAcentral's name for it is "long non-coding RNA (CANN_LNC018734)". The record is from RNAcentral. Lineage: Eukaryota; Viridiplantae; Streptophyta; Magnoliopsida; Solanales; Solanaceae.